UACGGAGGGUGCAAGCGUUAAUCGGAAUUACUGGGCGUAAAGCGCACGCAGGCGGUCUGUUAAGUCAGAUGUGAAAUCCCCGGGCUCAACCUGGGAACUGCAUCUGAUACUGGCAGGCUUGAGUCUCGUAGAGGGGGGUAGAAUUCCAGGUGUAGCGGUGAAAUGCGUAGAGAUCUGGAGGAAUACCGGUGGCGAAGGCGGCCCCCUGGACGAAGACUGACGCUCAGGUGCGAAAGCGUGGGGAGCAAACAGGAUUAGAUACCCUGGUAGUCCACGCCGUAAACGAUGUCGACUUGGAGGUUGUGCCCUUGAGGCGUGGCUUCCGGAGCUAACGCGUUAAGUCGACCGCCUGGGGAGUACGGCCGCAAGGUUAAA
Molecule: ribosomal RNA, 375 nt
Filed under: uncultured bacterium
Lineage: Bacteria
Description: bacterial SSU rRNA
Rfam family: Bacterial small subunit ribosomal RNA
Source: RNAcentral